UACGUAGGGGGGCUAGCGUUGUCCGGAAUCAUUGGGCGUAAAGCGCGUGUAGGCGGCCCGGUAAGUCCGCUGUGAAAGUCGGGGGGCUCAACCCUCGGAUGCCGGUGGAUACUGUCGGGCUAGAGUACGGAAGAGGCGAGUGGAAUUCCUGGUGUAGCGGUGAAAUGCGCAGAUAUCAGGAGGAACACCAAUUGCGAAGGCAGCUCGCUGGGACGUUACUGACGCUGAGACGCGAAAGCGUGGGGAGCAAACAGG
RNAcentral lists this ribosomal RNA (255 nucleotides) under uncultured bacterium. RNAcentral's name for it is "partial 16S ribosomal RNA". It matches the Rfam family "Bacterial small subunit ribosomal RNA", at positions 524 to 776 of the family's 1533-position model. The record is from RNAcentral.